UACGGAGGGUGCAAGCGUUGUCCGGAUUCAUUGGGUUUAAAGGGUGCGCAGGCGGGAAGCUAAGUCGGGGGUGAAAGACGGUUGCUCAACAAUCGCAGUGCCUUCGAUACUGGUUUUCUUGGGUGAAGUUGAGGUAGGCGGAAUGGAAGGUGUAGCGGUGAAAUGCGCAGAUAUCAGGAGAAACACCAGCGGCGAAGGCGGCGCUCUGGGCCGGAACUGACGCUGAGGAGCGAAAGCGUGGGUAGCAAACAGG
This 253-nucleotide ribosomal RNA is filed under the name uncultured bacterium. RNAcentral's name for it is "partial 16S ribosomal RNA". It matches the Rfam family "Bacterial small subunit ribosomal RNA", at positions 524 to 776 of the family's 1533-position model. The record is from RNAcentral.